UCUGUGGCAGAUGGACAAUUGAAAGUGAAAUUCAAUUCAAACAAACGACUAGUCUUGCUGCGUGCUGCUACCCCCCUUGGUGGAUGAAUCAGCAACUUAUCAAAUUCCAUGGAAAUUGGCAUCCCGAAUGCCAGAGUUCGUCCGGAAAGUGAAAGCAGCUCCGGCUAGAGCAGUGGCAUGCUGAACACGGACCAAGUGAGUCACUUUGGGGGCUCUAUGGGAGCUGAAAAAUUUAUGCCACAACAAAUGCCGGCGCAGGAUAAUGUAUCCUUUUUCCAGGAAUCCGACGCUGAAUCAGGCCUCUCCCAAGGGACGAUUCAGGGCUGAGUCAAACACACAGAUACUCGCUUUUCAUUCAUAAAACGCGGGAAAAGCUUUUCUGCGAGGAUGAGUCACAGUCGCGCUACACUGGGAAAAAUUUGUGUUCGCUAGGCUGCUGGUGCUGCGCCAAGACUUUGCCUGCUGCCCCCACAAAGGCCGUUUAUUGUUUUGCUUUUGCAUUCAGCUACGUGACUCAGCACAGCUGCUUCAGAUCUUUUUCGUGACGCCACAUUCUCUCGCUAUCACUCUCCCGCUCCAGACUUAGAUCCCUCUCUCUUGAGACAGCUUAAAAGUUUGAUCUUUGUGUUUGUUUGUGCUUUGACAACAACCAACUCCCUCCCAAUCAAGCCCGAAAGCUUUUGUCGAGUUUUGCGGUAUUUUUAAUGGCGUGUGUGUGUCUACGGUAUUGAAAGUUUUGUUUUCUUUGCCGCCAGUCUUGAGUCUUUAAUUCGCUGCCGUCGUGAUCGGUUGUGCGUGUGUGGAUCUGUAGCGUUACUAACUCUGUGCUCGUUUUUGUGUCUUGUCUUCUUUCGUUGCCAUACAACGCUUUUGGUCGAAGAGAGUAUCGCGCGCGCGUGCUUAAAGCUCUCUCUCUAUCAGACUGUCUGUCUUGCGACAGUUAAAAUACCAGAAAAAAACCUGUGCCCAGAGUGUUGAACAAAUUGCUGUGACUGUGCCUGUUCCUGUGCCCGUGUGUGUGUGUGUG
Molecule: small RNA, 1027 nt
Filed under: Drosophila pseudoobscura pseudoobscura
Lineage: Eukaryota; Metazoa; Arthropoda; Insecta; Diptera; Drosophilidae
Description: GA30685
Source: RNAcentral